GUUCCCUCCUCCUCUUUCCUCCCUUCAGCCCGAGUGGUGACCGAUCUUAUUGGGCCUAAAGCGUCCGUAGCUGGCUAAGCAAGUCCGUCGGGAAAUCCACUCGCCCAACGAGUGGGCGUCCGACGGAAACUGCAUAGCUUGGGACCGGAAGGCUCGAAGGGUACGUGCGGGGUAGGAGUGAAAUCCCAUAAUCCCGCACGGACCACCGAUGGCGAAAGCACUUCGAGAAAACGGAUCCGACAGUGAGGUACGAAAGCCAGGGUCUCCAACCGGAUUAGAUACCCGUGUAGUCC
Molecule: ribosomal RNA, 293 nt
Filed under: uncultured bacterium
Lineage: Bacteria
Description: partial 16S ribosomal RNA
Rfam family: Archaeal small subunit ribosomal RNA
Source: RNAcentral